Panicum virgatum (switchgrass) is the source of this 1107-nucleotide long non-coding RNA. RefSeq lists it as uncharacterized. Lineage: Eukaryota; Viridiplantae; Streptophyta; Magnoliopsida; Poales; Poaceae. The record is from RefSeq and is a predicted model, not a curated record. The transcript has 3 exons.
GCUCGUCCCUUGCCUCCUCGCGUGAGCGGUGUCCUCCUGCACCGCCAGAGCCGCCGCUCAUCCGCGGCCUGUGGAGGCAGCCGCGCAUGGAGGAUGGAUCCGGCGACGGCCUCCUCAACCUCAAGACUCGCGGUCGGCCACCUCGUUCAUCCAUGGAUCUGCGUCAACUUACGUUUCCUACCUCGGCUCCUUCGUCCGACAUCUCUGGCGGCUCCUCGCCCACCUCGCCGGCGGCGACCACUACCCGCUUCUCUGCUCCAAGAUCCAUGCUCGUCAAUUGCUUUGGUCUUCACAGGCGAUGUGGAGCAGAACCUACAGAGGAGCAGUUGCUAGCUUCUUGAUUAAGCGGCAAGUGGAUUUGCUUUCUUUUGCCUUUAUCCUCUAGCGGUGGCUGCAGAUCCAUGGUCAAAACAGCAUGGGUGCAUCCCUGGCGGAUGGAUGAUAAUAGAUACAUUUACUUCUUUGGGUUUCUACUGCGGCUCAACUCAGAUCCAUGUUUUGUCUCUUUGAGCUUAUAUUUCUUUUAUGUAUUCAAUUUUCCUGAUACAAACAUAACCCAAGUCCACCAUAUCAUGAUAUUUACUGAAUAUCAUAUACAUUUGCCAUGUCCAUCAUUUACAGAUUACAAAUAUAUACCAAGUGAAUUUCAAUGCCAUUCCUCUUAUCCAGAUGGUUCUUUUGCAGUACUAUUGAGAUGUCCUGAUUUUUUUCGUACUGUAAUUGCCAUUAAAGUUAGAUGUCCGUAACAACAAUUUUCAUAGAAAGAAAUGUGCCACUUUCAUAUAUCCUCUCCUUGUAGGCAAUAAUGGAUAUGAGACUCGUGUGAUUAUUUCAAUCCAACUGAAAGAGACGUCACUUUCUUUUUAUGCCGUGGAGCCUGUCAUUUUUAUCAGGUAUGCAAUUAAAAGCUGAGAAGGAUGCAAAAUUUGAGCUCGUGCUUGAAACAUGGGUUCGCUUGAAGCUACUUUUUGGCAGUAUUGUCAGAUUUUGUGCUAGAUUAACUAGACUUAAACUUAUUUUUUGCUGGAUCAAAAAACUUUGAUGUUGUAUGUAUGUGAUGAGAUGUUGGAUCAGAAUUUAUCUAUAUAUAUGAGCUGGUUUAUAUCA